Molecule: long non-coding RNA, 225 nt
Organism: Oxyura jamaicensis (ruddy duck)
Lineage: Eukaryota; Metazoa; Chordata; Aves; Anseriformes; Anatidae
Exons: 2
Source: RefSeq, a predicted model, not a curated record
CGCCAACUUCCGUCUUUUCUGCGUUCGAUGGAAGGGCCCAGAGAAUCAUUUCUGCCACUCUUCUCAAGGUAUUUCAUUCUCUGUGAUGGAAAUCAAGAGUAGCAACAGCAACAUGGACUUCAAUCAGCUGAGAACACAUGCAGGAUUUUUGAUGCAUCAAAGUUUACACCACUGCAGUGACUAUGCUGACAUUUGUAUUUGAAUAAAUUUGACUCAUGGUUUUCA